GACGAACGCUGGCGGCGUGCUUAACACAUGCAAGUCGAACGGAAAGGCCCUGCUUUUGUGGGGUGCUCGAGUGGCGAACGGGUGAGUAACACGUGAGUAACCUGCCCUUGACUUUGGGAUAACUUCAGGAAACUGGGGCUAAUACCGGAUAGGAGCUCCUGCUGCAUGGUGGGGGUUGGAAAGUUUCGGCGGUUGGGGAUGGACUCGCGGCUUAUCAGCUUGUUGGUGGGGUAGUGGCUUACCAAGGCUUUGACGGGUAGCCGGCCUGAGAGGGUGACCGGCCACAUGGGGACUGAGAUACGGCCCAGACUCCUACGGGAGGCAGCAGGGGGGAGUAUGGCGCAAUGGGCGGAAGCCUGAUGCAGCAACGCCGCGUGCGGGAUGACGGCCUACGGGUGGUAAACCGCUUUCGCCGGUGACGAAGCGUGAGUGACGGUAAUGGGUAAAGAAGCACCGGCUAACUACGUG
Molecule: ribosomal RNA, 468 nt
Filed under: uncultured bacterium
Lineage: Bacteria
Description: partial 16S ribosomal RNA
Rfam family: Bacterial small subunit ribosomal RNA
Source: RNAcentral